AUACUUACCUGGCAGGGGAGAUACCAUGAUCACGAAGGUGGUUUUCCCAGGGCGAGGCUUAUCCAUUGCACUCCGGAUGUGCUGACCCCUGUGAUUUCCCCAAAUGUGGGAAACUCGACUGCAUAAUUUGUGGUAGUGGGGGACUGCGUUCGCGCUUUCCCCUG
Small nuclear RNA from Bos mutus (wild yak), 164 nucleotides. Its record names the gene U1. It matches the Rfam family "U1 spliceosomal RNA". Rfam says of the family: U1 is a small nuclear RNA (snRNA) component of the spliceosome (involved in pre-mRNA splicing). Its 5' end forms complementary base pairs with the 5' splice junction, thus defining the 5' donor site of an intron. There are significant differences in sequence and secondary structure between metazoan and yeast U1 snRNAs, the latter being much longer (568 nucleotides as compared to 164 nucleotides in human). Lineage: Eukaryota; Metazoa; Chordata; Mammalia; Artiodactyla; Bovidae. The record is from Ensembl.